Molecule: long non-coding RNA, 399 nt
Organism: Schistocerca serialis cubense
Lineage: Eukaryota; Metazoa; Arthropoda; Insecta; Orthoptera; Acrididae
Exons: 3
Source: RefSeq, a predicted model, not a curated record
GCCGACGCGAGCUGCCGCGGCUGCCAACAAUGUGGGGCCGAGCGUGUUGCCAGGUCCCGUGUGAUAGGAGGUCGUCUCCUUAUCGCAGCAGACGAGGUCUUGACGUGGUGUGGAGAGCCACCUUAUGGCGGCGGUAGUGAUAUAACCCUCUCGCCUUUGUCCACACGCCGACUACCGGAGCGAGCCGCACUGAAGGCUGCCUCCACUCUUCUCUGGAACUUCUUGUCAGCUAAGGAGUGUCGGUGAUGGCACGGCUGUCGCCGCGGCGCGGGCUGGUCCUGCUGGCGGCGGCCUCCCUGGCCGUGCUGGUGUGUCUGCAGCAGAGGGAGCUGCCCUGGAGGCCCGCCGACGCCCCCGACGCCGCCCACGCGCCGCCGCCGCGGCAGGUCAGUGCCACAC